Molecule: ribosomal RNA, 187 nt
Filed under: uncultured Staphylococcus sp.
Lineage: Bacteria; Bacillati; Bacillota; Bacilli; Caryophanales; Staphylococcaceae
Description: partial 16S ribosomal RNA
Rfam family: Bacterial small subunit ribosomal RNA
Source: RNAcentral
AAACCGGAGCUAAUACCGGAUAAUAUAUUUAACCGCAUGGUUCAAUAGUGAAAGACGGUUUUGCUGUCACUUUAUAGAUGGAUCCGCGCCGCAUUAGCUAGUUGGUAAGGUAACGGCUUACCAAGGCAACGAUGCGUAGCCGACCUGAGAGGGUGAUCGGCCACACUGGAACUGAGACACGGUCCAG